This 328-nucleotide long non-coding RNA is filed under the name Setaria viridis. RNAcentral describes it as "long non-coding RNA (SVIR_LNC011055)". Lineage: Eukaryota; Viridiplantae; Streptophyta; Magnoliopsida; Poales; Poaceae. The record is from RNAcentral.
UAAAGUUGGAGUCCAAGAGGAGUCCGCCUCAGAAUUGACGCCCAAAUCACAUAAGGAGUCCAUUUUCUACAUUCUACAUAUGCAUGGAAAGAUGAGAAGAUACACUUUCCAUUGGCACCUGUCUAAUAUCAAAAUUCCUUUUGAAUCAACAGGAAUCAUUGAAAGAAGGUGAACAUAUAGAAUCUGCUAAGGUAUUGCGUCACCUUUUAUUUGGCCGCGGCCCGUGUAAUUCAUGAGAACAGCCUAGGCCCAUGUUGUGGCGCCCCCCCCUCCUCCUGUAGGACCAUGUCCCAAGGGUUCCCUAAGUUGUCCACCACCUUGGCCUCCA